CCGAGUUUACAACUCCCAAACCCCUGUGAACAUACCUAUACGUUGCCUCGGCGGAUCAGCCCGCGCCCCGUAAAAAGGGACGGCCCGCCCGAGGACCCCUAAACUCUGUUUCUAUAGUGGAACUUCUGAGUAAAACCAUAAAUAAAUCA
RNAcentral lists this unclassified non-coding RNA (149 nucleotides) under soil metagenome. Its description in RNAcentral is "partial internal transcribed spacer 1". The record is from RNAcentral.